Molecule: ribosomal RNA, 686 nt
Filed under: unidentified microorganism
Description: bacterial SSU rRNA
Rfam family: Bacterial small subunit ribosomal RNA
Source: RNAcentral
UAUACAUGCAAGUCGAGCGGACAGAAGGGAGCUUGCUCCCGGAUGUUAGCGGCGGACGGGUGAGUAACACGUGGGUAACCUGCCUGUAAGACUGGGAUAACUCCGGGAAACCGGAGCUAAUACCGGAUAGUUCCUUGAACCGCAUGGUUCAAGGAUGAAAGACGGUUUCGGCUGUCACUUACAGAUGGACCCGCGGCGCAUUAGCUAGUUGGUGGGGUAAUGGCUCACCAAGGCGACGAUGCGUAGCCGACCUGAGAGGGUGAUCGGCCACACUGGGACUGAGACACGGCCCAGACUCCUACGGGAGGCAGCAGUAGGGAAUCUUCCGCAAUGGACGAAAGUCUGACGGAGCAACGCCGCGUGAGUGAUGAAGGUUUUCGGAUCGUAAAGCUCUGUUGUUAGGGAAGAACAAGUGCGAGAGUAACUGCUCGCACCUUGACGGUACCUAACCAGAAAGCCACGGCUAACUACGUGCCAGCAGCCGCGGUAAUACGUAGGUGGCAAGCGUUGUCCGGAAUUAUUGGGCGUAAAGGGCUCGCAGGCGGUUUCUUAAGUCUGAUGUGAAAGCCCCCGGCUCAACCGGGGAGGGUCAUUGGAAACUGGGAAACUUGAGUGCAGAAGAGGAGAGUGGAAUUCCACGUGUAGCGGUGAAAUGCGUAGAGAUGUGGAGGAACACCAGUGGCGAA